RNAcentral lists this ribosomal RNA (2572 nucleotides) under Escherichia coli. Its description in RNAcentral is "partial 23S ribosomal RNA". It matches the Rfam family "Bacterial large subunit ribosomal RNA", at positions 375 to 2925 of the family's 2925-position model. The record is from RNAcentral. Lineage: Bacteria; Pseudomonadati; Pseudomonadota; Gammaproteobacteria; Enterobacterales; Enterobacteriaceae.
GUACACAAAAAUGCACAUAUUGUGAGCUCGAUGAGUAGGGCGGGACACGUGGUAUCCUGUCUGAAUAUGGGGGGACCAUCCUCCAAGGCUAAAUACUCCUGACUGACCGAUAGUGAACCAGUACCGUGAGGGAAAGGCGAAAAGAACCCCGGCGAGGGGAGUGAAAAAGAACCUGAAACCGUGUACGUACAAGCAGUGGGAGCCUCUUUAUGGGGUGACUGCGUACCUUUUGUAUAAUGGGUCAGCGACUUAUAUUCUGUAGCAAGGUUAACCGAAUAGGGGAGCCGAAGGGAAACCGAGUCUUAACUGGGCGUUAAGUUGCAGGGUAUAGACCCGAAACCCGGUGAUCUAGCCAUGGGCAGGUUGAAGGUUGGGUAACACUAACUGGAGGACCGAACCGACUAAUGUUGAAAAAUUAGCGGAUGACUUGUGGCUGGGGGUGAAAGGCCAAUCAAACCGGGAGAUAGCUGGUUCUCCCCGAAAGCUAUUUAGGUAGCGCCUCGUGAAUUCAUCUCCGGGGGUAGAGCACUGUUUCGGCAAGGGGGUCAUCCCGACUUACCAACCCGAUGCAAACUGCGAAUACCGGAGAAUGUUAUCACGGGAGACACACGGCGGGUGCUAACGUCCGUCGUGAAGAGGGAAACAACCCAGACCGCCAGCUAAGGUCCCAAAGUCAUGGUUAAGUGGGAAACGAUGUGGGAAGGCCCAGACAGCCAGGAUGUUGGCUUAGAAGCAGCCAUCAUUUAAAGAAAGCGUAAUAGCUCACUGGUCGAGUCGGCCUGCGCGGAAGAUGUAACGGGGCUAAACCAUGCACCGAAGCUGCGGCAGCGACACUAUGUGUUGUUGGGUAGGGGAGCGUUCUGUAAGCCUGUGAAGGUGGCCUGUGAGGGUUGCUGGAGGUAUCAGAAGUGCGAAUGCUGACAUAAGUAACGAUAAAGCGGGUGAAAAGCCCGCUCGCCGGAAGACCAAGGGUUCCUGUCCAACGUUAAUCGGGGCAGGGUGAGUCGACCCCUAAGGCGAGGCCGAAAGGCGUAGUCGAUGGGAAACAGGUUAAUAUUCCUGUACUUGGUGUUACUGCGAAGGGGGGACGGAGAAGGCUAUGUUGGCCGGGCGACGGUUGUCCCGGUUUAAGCGUGUAGGCUGGUUUUCCAGGCAAAUCCGGAAAACCAAGGCUGAGGCGUGAUGACGAGGCACUACGGUGCUGAAGCGACAAAUGCCCUGCUUCCAGGAAAAGCCUCUAAGCAUCAGGUAACAUCAAAUCGUACCCCAAACCGACACAGGUGGUCAGGUAGAGAAUACCAAGGCGCUUGAGAGAACUCGGGUGAAGGAACUAGGCAAAAUGGUGCCGUAACUUCGGGAGAAGGCACGCUGAUAUGUAGGUGAAGCGACUUGCUCGUGGAGCUGAAAUCAGUCGAAGAUACCAGCUGGCUGCAACUGUUUAUUAAAAACACAGCACUGUGCAAACACGAAAGUGGACGUAUACGGUGUGACGCCUGCCCGGUGCCGGAAGGUUAAUUGAUGGGGUUAGCGGUAACGCGAAGCUCUUGAUCGAAGCCCCGGUAAACGGCGGCCGUAACUAUAACGGUCCUAAGGUAGCGAAAUUCCUUGUCGGGUAAGUUCCGACCUGCACGAAUGGCGUAAUGAUGGCCAGGCUGUCUCCACCCGAGACUCAGUGAAAUUGAACUCGCUGUGAAGAUGCAGUGUACCCGCGGCAAGACGGAAAGACCCCGUGAACCUUUACUAUAGCUUGACACUGAACAUUGAGCCUUGAUGUGUAGGAUAGGUGGGAGGCUUUGAAGUGUGGACGCCAGUCUGCAUGGAGCCGACCUUGAAAUACCACCCUUUAAUGUUUGAUGUUCUAACGUUGGCCCGUAAUCCGGGUUGCGGACAGUGUCUGGUGGGUAGUUUGACUGGGGCGGUCUCCUCCUAAAGAGUAACGGAGGAGCACGAAGGUUGGCUAAUCCUGGUCGGACAUCAGGAGGUUAGUGCAAUGGCAUAAGCCAGCUUGACUGCGAGCGUGACGGCGCGAGCAGGUGCGAAAGCAGGUCAUAGUGAUCCGGUGGUUCUGAAUGGAAGGGCCAUCGCUCAACGGAUAAAAGGUACUCCGGGGAUAACAGGCUGAUACCGCCCAAGAGUUCAUAUCGACGGCGGUGUUUGGCACCUCGAUGUCGGCUCAUCACAUCCUGGGGCUGAAGUAGGUCCCAAGGGUAUGGCUGUUCGCCAUUUAAAGUGGUACGCGAGCUGGGUUUAGAACGUCGUGAGACAGUUCGGUCCCUAUCUGCCGUGGGCGCUGGAGAACUGAGGGGGGCUGCUCCUAGUACGAGAGGACCGGAGUGGACGCAUCACUGGUGUUCGGGUUGUCAUGCCAAUGGCACUGCCCGGUAGCUAAAUGCGGAAGAGAUAAGUGCUGAAAGCAUCUAAGCACGAAACUUGCCCCGAGAUGAGUUCUCCCUGAGACUUAGAGUCUCCUGAAGGAACGUUGAAGACGACGACGUUGAUAGGCCGGGUGUGUAAGCGCAGCGAUGCGUUGAGCUAACCGGUACUAAUGAACCGUGAGGCUUAACCUUACAAC